UUUCAUUGGUGCAGGCUGGCGGCUCCGCCAGACAUUGGAGGGACCUUGAGUUGCUGACUAUUACAGAAUUUGCAGUCUGGCUCUGCCGCAGAAGACUUUGGUUUAAAGCCAUCACGCAUCAGAAUUAGCUCAUUGUAAAGAAUAUACAGCACACAGUCUAUUAGAGUCCCAGCCUUGGAGAGGAAUGCGCAUUCCAAGGCUGGGCUCCUUUUUUUAGGAGUGCAGUGAUUUUUUAAAUGACUUCUAUUUGUCCCUUUUUACACCAGUCAUAUUGUAUUGCACGUGUAGAGAAGCAAGCAAGUGGAAGGGAUCAGAGGCUUUUUGUCUGCAAGUUGUGCUGCUUUUGGUGGCUGGAGGGACUGCAGUUCCAACACCCAUGCAGAAAAAAAAAAUAAUGGAUGAAUUCAAGCUCCCCUCCCAAGCAGGGACAGAAGGGCACCAAAAAGCUUCAUUCCUGUCUCCUGGUGAAGACCAUCUACCAGAAAACAAAAAUGAUGACCUCUGAAUUAUUCCUGAAUCAUGUAUCUUCCAUUUGUAUUGAUUUUGUCUGUGGGUAUAGAUGAGUUUGUAAAAAAUAUGGGUUCCUUUUUUUUUUUUUUUUUUUUUAAAUAUAGUAAGUUAGGCAUAUUUGGGACUCUGAGCCUUUGUGAUGUCUAUUUUGCAGUGGUCAGAUGAAACAAAAAGCAAAUCCAAACCGUUCAGACAGACUUGAGC
Polyodon spathula (Mississippi paddlefish) is the source of this 714-nucleotide long non-coding RNA. RefSeq lists it as uncharacterized. The transcript is spliced from 3 exons. The record is from RefSeq and is a predicted model, not a curated record. NCBI's taxonomy places the organism in Eukaryota, Metazoa, Chordata, Actinopteri, Acipenseriformes, Polyodontidae.